GUGGGGAAUAUUGGACAAUGGGCGAAAGCCUGAUCCAGCCAUGCCGCGUGUGUGAAGAAGGUCUUCGGAUUGUAAAGCACUUUAAGUUGGGAGGAAGGGUAGUAACCUAAUACGUUGCUACUUUGACGUUACCGACAGAAUAAGCACCGGCUAACUUCGUGCCAGCAGCCGCGGUAAUACGAAGGGUGCAAGCGUUAAUCGGAAUUACUGGGCGUAAAGCGCGCGUAGGUGGUUCAGAAAGUUGACAGUGAAAUCCCCGGGCUCAACCUCGGAACUGCUUUCAAAACUGCUGAGCUAGAGUACGGUAGAGGGUGGUGGAAUUUCCUGUGUAGCGGUGAAAUGCGUAGAUAUAGGAAGGAACACCAGUGGCGAAGGCGACCACCUGGACUGAUACUGACACUGAGGUGCGAAAGCGUGGGGAGCAAACAGGAUUAGAUACCCCGGUAGUCC
This 450-nucleotide ribosomal RNA is filed under the name uncultured bacterium. RNAcentral describes it as "bacterial SSU rRNA". It matches the Rfam family "Bacterial small subunit ribosomal RNA", at positions 354 to 796 of the family's 1533-position model. The record is from RNAcentral.